GGGAUUGCCUCAGUAACGGCGAGUGAAGCGGCAACAGCUCAAAUUUGAAAUCUGGCCCCUUCGGGGUCCGAGUUGUAAUUUGUAGAGAGUGUUUCGGGUGAGGCCACGGUCUAAGUCCAUUGGAACAUGGCGUCAUAGAGGGUGAGAAUCCCGUAUGUGACUGUGGCUCGAGCCCAUGUGAAGCCUCUUCGACGAGUCGAGUUGUUUGGGAAUGCAGCUCAAAAUGGGUGGUAAAUUUCAUCUAAAGCUAAAUAUUGGCUGGAGACCGAUAGCGCACAAGUAGAGUGAUCGAAAGAUGAAAAGCACUUUGGAAAGAGAGUCAAAAAGUACGUGAAAUUGUUGAAAGGGAAGCGCUUGCAACCAGACCUGUCCGUAGGUGAUCAGCCGCUGUUCUCAGUGGUGCACUCGCUCUGCGAUCAGGCCAGCAUCGGUUCGGGCGGCCGGAUAAAGGCCUUGGGAAUGUAGCUUCCCUCGGGAAGUCUUAUAGCCCUCGGUGCAAUGCGGCCAGCCGGGACCGAGGACCGCGCUUCGGCUAGGAUGCUGGCGUAAUGGUUGUAAGCGACCCGUCUUGAAACACGGACCAAGGAGUCUAACAUCUAUGCGAGUGUUUGGGUGUCAAACCCAUGCGCGGAAUGAAAGUGAACGGAGGUGAGAACCCUUAAGGGCGCAUCAUCGACCGAUCCAGAUGUCUUCGGAUGGAUUUGAGUAUGAGCAUAGCUGUUGGGACCCGAAAGGUACGUUCGAAUUCCCCCCUUCCCCUUGAUGUAUAUAGAAAUUAAGCUAACUUGUCCGACAGAUGGUGAACUAUGCCUGAAUAGGGUGAAGCCAGAGGAAACUCUGGUGGAGGCUCGCAGCGGUUCUGACGUGCAAAUCGAUCGUCAAAUUUGGGUAUAGGGGCGAAAGACUAAUCGAACCAUCUAGUAGCUGGGUCCUG
RNAcentral lists this ribosomal RNA (934 nucleotides) under Protousnea magellanica. Its description in RNAcentral is "eukaryotic LSU rRNA". It matches the Rfam family "Eukaryotic large subunit ribosomal RNA", at positions 71 to 960 of the family's 3401-position model. Lineage: Eukaryota; Fungi; Ascomycota; Lecanoromycetes; Lecanorales; Parmeliaceae. The record is from RNAcentral.